Molecule: ribosomal RNA, 467 nt
Filed under: uncultured bacterium
Lineage: Bacteria
Description: bacterial SSU rRNA
Rfam family: Bacterial small subunit ribosomal RNA
Source: RNAcentral
UAGGGAAUAUUGGACAAUGGGUGAGAGCCUGAUCCAGCCAUGCCGCGUGCAGGAAGAAGGCGUUAUGCGUUGUAAACUGCUUUUUGCCAGGGGAUAAAAUGACCGUGCGCGGUUAAUUGAAGGUACCUGGUGAAUAAGCCACGGCUAACUACGUGCCAGCAGCCGCGGUAAUACGUAGGUGGCAAGCGUUGUCCGGAUUUAUUGGGUUUAAAGGGUGCGUAGGUGGCCCUGUAAGUCAGUGGUGAAAUAUCUCAGCUUAACUGAGAGGGUGCCAUUGAUACUGCAGGGCUUGAGUACAGAUGAGGUAGGCGGAAUUGACGGUGUAGCGGUGAAAUGCAUAGAUAUCGUCAAGAACACCGAUAGCGAAGGCAGCUUACCAAGCUGUAACUGACACUGAGGCACGAAAGUGUGGGGAUCAAACAGGAUUAGAUACCCGCGUAGUCCCUGAGCGGGCUGGCAAGGCGCAU